ACUUUACCGACCGUGUUACGAAUUGUACACUUUAGUCGAUGUGUUUACCGACAGUUGGUAUUGCAGAUUUUCCCUUAGCUACGACGUAGCAAGUUGGGAUUGGUUUGUGACGUGGCAAUAGAGGCUAUGGGCAUAGAGUUGGAUCCUAUCGGAAUUGUCAAUGGAAGUUUGUCACAUGGUUUCGUAGUGCUGGUUGGAUUCGUAAACAUUUGUGGUAUUUGUGAACUUUUGACCUCUUCGAUUAAAAUGCAAUGCAUUCAUAGUUGAUGCAAGCUAUGGAUCCAAUGAUAUCCGGUUGCGUAAUUUGGUGGUAUAAAAAACAAAGAACGACGUUAAGAAGUGAAUCGCACGUGUGUUGUGAUAUGAAAUUUAGAGUGUACAAAACGGGUGAUUAAAAUAUUAUUGAUAAACCAUGUACGGGUGAUUCGAUACGUUGAUCAAUGAGGAUUCAAGGCUAAAUAUUGAUAAAACGUAAAGGUGUACGAAGAAAGAUAACAUUUAUGAUAAAACAAGCAACAGAAUGAGACUGGGUACAAAAAUACCAAAUUUCGAGGCCUAUACUACUAAGGGAAAAAUUCAUUUUCAUAAUUGGUCGGGUAAUUCAUGGGUACUGAUGUUUUCGCAUCCGGCAGAUUUUACGCCCGUUUGCACUACGGAAUUGGGCAGACUUGCGGAACGGGCUGAGGAAUUCAAAAGGAGGGGAGUUAAAUUACUUGGUCAUUCGUGCGAUUCCUUGGAAUCGCAUUUGGUCUGGAUUAAGGAUAUACAGGCGAAAUACAGAAGAAUUCCAAAGGUAUUCCCAUAUCCAAUAAUUGGAGAUGAAACACGUGAAAUUGCGGAAAUGCUUGACAUGGUAGACGAGCGAGAACCUUCAAGCCGUGGUGUGAGAGCAGUUUUGGUGAUUGAUCCUCAAAAAAUUCUACGACUCUUUUUACUUUAUCCAGACACCACAGGAAGAAAUAUAGAUGAAAUUUUUCGCGUGAUACAAGCGUUACAAUUGUCAAGCAGAGCUCCAGUUGCUACGCCAGUUGAUUGGCAGCCAGGGGAUGAAGUCCUUGUAUGUCCAAACGUGCCAGAAUCAGAGGAAGCACGACUUUUUCCACAUGGAGUUCAACAUGUUGCUAUGCCAAGUGGUCUCGCCUACAUUAGAUACACGAGCGAUUACCUAGCGCCACAUGAAUGUUGGGAAUGAUUGAAAAUCGAUUUUCCAAUCGAUAGUUUCAAUAAUCAAUAUCUAAUUACCAAUGAAGAACAAGCUAUAGCUUUUUGCUUUCAGAAAAACUAAAUUUAUUCGAAAGUCCCUAAGAAAAUUGAAUAGGCGCUGCUGCAUGACAUUUUUGGCACACCAUGCAAAAAUCGAGUCAACAAACACGAUCAUCUCCAGGGACGUGGGUGUUUCGCAGAGGAGUUUGCUUCGUGAAAGCGGACGAUGAAGAAGGAAAGGAGAAUCUACGAGAAUAGCACUUUAACCCCGCAGCCUAUCCUGAACGUCAUAAUCGUCUACGUCCAGGAUGUAAGGGUCAAUCUCACCGAGGAGACUAUCAUGGAUGACCCAGAACCCAGGAUGCUCUCAGUUUAUCUUUCGAAACGAGGCUGUUCUCCAGACUGGAAUUUCCGUAGCAUCCAGUCAUACUUGAAUCUUUCUUCUCUGUUUUUACUAUAUCUCUCUCGCUCCGUCCGUACACUACGUAACUAUAUUCGCUAUCUUAGCGUAGCGUGCUGAGCCAAUAUGGCGGAGCCAAAGAUGCUACCCGUUUAUGGGCAAUAAACAGAGACUUACGGCACAACCCGCUAUUUGUUUUGUCGUGUCAGCAAUGUCUAGGAAUGCACUAGGAUGGAUCUGUACCCAGUACCAUUGAAGAUACUAUGGUUACGCGACCCUUGUCUAUGAUAUCCUACGAAAAAGAUUAUUUUUAUCAGUCUCGUGUGGAUUUCUAGCUUCGUUUAAUAUUUCAACGUUAUAGUCGUCAUGCCAAUACUUUAUGAUCCGCAUUUGCGAUUUAGUACCCACGCCGUUGUUUAACUUACCGACUUUGAAUACGUCGUCUAAAUUAAAACAGCUGAGAAACUUUACAAUCUGUAGCUGCACGUUAACGGAAAUGCGUGUUACGUACUGUAAAGUUUUGUUCGAACUACUGCCGCUAGGGGCGCCGCGGGCACGACGCUAGCGGUAGACGUGAGUAGUCGUAAAGUGACGAGAAUUUACAGAGAAGUACAGAGACAAGACUAGAGACGCGUGAGCUUCUUUCGGCGUGCAAUUAACGAAAGUGCUGUAAUUAAAGAGUGACGAGUCUGUUUGUAUAGAACGAUGUGAAUUGUACGAAGUAGUGGUGAAAGUGUCAAUGGUCGAGUGUUUACAGUUCGUGCGAGUAAAUGAAGCAUCUGAUCCUAGAAUCCAGGAUACUUUUAUUGCGAUGGCUACGCCAUGACAGGAGUGCUGGAUAUAUUUCAAUACCUGAGACCCAGUCCGUCUGCGAAACUUCGGAAAACGAGCUUGCAGGAGUUACAAAUCCCAGACUUACAUAAUACAUACAAUACAUACAAUACAUAAGAUUAAUUUACGUAUAAAUUAGAAAAAAUGUAACAAAUGCCAAUUUAAAAAAAAAACCAUUGAAAAUUGAAAUUUAUAUAACACAAUGGCAACUGUCAGUUACUAUUGGCAACGACGAACAGCAGAACAAUCGACUUGCAAGCGGCGUGCAUUUGGACAUAGAACAAUGGCAGAUUUCGCAAGUUCUCGCUGACAAUACGCUGGAAAACUCGAGGAUGAUUUCCGGGUCGAGAGCGGCUCGUCCAGUUCCUGAACCAGCAGACUAUUUCCUCCUGACACACUCGCAGGACUCAGGAGCCAAAAUCCUUUUGAAGGGACGAUAAAACAAGUCGCCCAGUAUAAAUUACCUGGUUGCACAGACAAGAAAUCAUUUGCCGUCGGAUCGCGUCCCUUUUGGGAUAAAGGCUAUUUCACAGGCUGCGUUUCCCACAAUUCAAAAGCACCCGUGGCCUACGUGAUAGACAGAUGAAGAUGGGGACGAGAGAGGACAAUAUCGGAAAUUAGCAGUAAAAACAGGCAGCAGAACAUCGCCGUGCAAGCUCGCAUAAAGUGCUACCACCAUCGCGCUGGAUCGACUCGAUUUUCGUAGACGCCCAGCGUCGGAAAAGGGUGUACGAGGUAUUCCUGUAGGAACGACUACGACUUGAGAAUCCUCAACGAGUAUCGAGCCACUCGGUUGUGACGAUGACACUCCUGGAGGUCGUCGCCGUCGUCGCUGCUGACAGGGAACGACAGUAGUACUUGUAAACCAUGGAAGGAAGAAGUGGGCGUCGGCGUAAAGAGCGUCUCUUUGACUUUUGGCGUACGUAACAACGGAUUGUCAAGUGGGUAGAGUCUUAAGCGCGACCUAACUCCUUUUGUCGUACUGGGAUAAGUAUUAGGAACGUCUUCGUAGUUAAUUGCAUGGCGUGAAUAAAGAAUUAAAGUCGAGGGACUCGCCCGAGAAA
Cephus cinctus (wheat stem sawfly) is the source of this 3498-nucleotide RNA transcript. It is a transcript of the gene named peroxiredoxin-6, with no coding region annotated. The transcript is spliced from 10 exons. NCBI's taxonomy places the organism in Eukaryota, Metazoa, Arthropoda, Insecta, Hymenoptera, Cephidae. The record is from RefSeq and is a predicted model, not a curated record.